Long non-coding RNA from Astyanax mexicanus (Mexican tetra), 704 nucleotides. RefSeq lists it as uncharacterized. NCBI's taxonomy places the organism in Eukaryota, Metazoa, Chordata, Actinopteri, Characiformes, Acestrorhamphidae. The transcript is spliced from 2 exons. The record is from RefSeq and is a predicted model, not a curated record.
AAAGGUCAGGGGGUUUGGAUUGGUCUGAGUGACGCUGAAACAGAGGGGGUCUGGAAAUGGGUGGACGGAUCAGAACUGAUCACUGGGUUCUGGGGAACUGGAGAACCUGGCUUUUCCAGUAACUGUGUUGUAUACGGCUAUGGGUCUGAUCCUGUGAGGAAAUGGGCUACUUUUCCCUGUAAUAACUGGUUUGUUUGGAUCUGUGAAAAAAGAUUAUAAAGAGUAGAAAUUGUUUGAGAAGAGUUUAUGUAUUUCAGGAUUCACUGCUACAGCUACAGCUAGUGAUAAUAACAGCCACACUUUUUCCUUCCUCUGUUUGAAUUAUUCUUUUUCUUUGCUCUGCCUUAAAGUAGAUUUUUUUGUAUGUCAAUUAAAUAAAAUAAUUUCAGAAUAUUCUUGAAGGGCUUUUUAUCCCCUAUCUUUUUAAUAAAGGCAGUGAGAACUAGGACUUUUUGUAAGGGGAAAGUGUUCUUUUAUAUUUGCGUUUCUCUUCCACCAGUAGAUAACUUUGUAGUGUUACAGUUUGGGGUGUUAGAUUGUUUAAAGUUGUUUUAAGUGUAUUUGCUUUGAUGAACUCUUUCUUUUAGCUUUAGAUGGUUAUUAGCUGUAAACUGAUUCCACUGUAAAGCAGUACAUCACUGUAUGUAUAGUGACUUACAACAUUUGUGGAAUUACAGUAAACUGCAAAAAAAAAAUAAACUAAA